AAGACUAAAAUUAAGAACAAGAAUAGGGGCAAACUCUUUGCUAGCCAUAUGCCUUCAGGUCAGAAAAUACAAAUGCUAGCACAAUGCCUUCCACAUUCAAGCUGUUCAAUAAAUGUUUACUAAAUAAGCCAACAUCUUAGUUGGGGACAAUUGGAAAUUUUAGUCAGUACAAAUCCAAGUCCAAUUUGACUGCUGACUGAGUAGAGGAUGAGGAGAAGGGGAAGAAAUAAGAGAGAGAAAAGAUCUUCCUUGGCUGGGACAGUCAAAUUCUGCCACUGGCCCAUGUCCAGACCUCAUUCUUUCUUGCAGUGUGAGUUUUUAUGGUUUCCUCAGAGAUUUGCCCUGCUGAGGUCCUCAGACUGUGGUUCUUGGGCACUGGCAAUGCCAUAAAUGCUUACGGAAGAACCCCACUCAACUUCUACAUCAGAUCAUCAGACUCUAGUGUCUUGCCACCAAGGCUGUCUUCCCCCAGACAGGAAAUUCUUCAGUGUGUGGGUGGAGGAAGGAAGGGAGCCAGUGGCAGGAGAGGUCAUAAUUGGCUCCCUUCUACAGGAUUCACAUAGACCUCCAGGAAACCACAGCUUUUUCCUACUAGUUGUGGAAAUGGGACUAUUCCCAUUGCAUCCCCGUCUCUUUGCCAGGGUUCUCUUGCCUUGUGACUUUUUGCAUGCUUAUGUCAAGUAUCAGAAUUUAUGCCCCCCGAGGCCAAGCUCCACCCCUCAAGCUCCCAGAGGGGUUCUCUGACUUCCUGUCUACAUGCGGUUGGGGGAGAGAGUUUCAGAAACAUGUCAGCACCCUUAAUUCUCUCCACAGGAUUCUACUACCACACUCUUCAUCAACCUUAUUACAAUCUCCCUUCCUCCACCUCUCACUCUCCGAGAAGUCAAACAGACAAUCCAAAGCUCUCCUAGAAAAUCAUGAAUAGAUGAGUUGAUCCACAUUACUCUUGGUCCUUUGCAGCCCUGCCAGAACUCUGAUGCAACACAGUAAAUAUAAUAACCUGUUAUAUAGGGAAAAUUACUGAAUAUUCUGAUUUUUUUAAAAAUGACUUUGCCAUCAGAGGUUCCCGCCAUGGCACAGCAGAAAUGAAUCCAACUAGGAACCAUGAGAUUGCAGGUUCAAUCCCUGGCCUUGCUCAGUUGCUUAAGGAUCUGGUGUUGCUGUGCUCUGGCAUAGGCUGGCAGUUACAGCUCCAAUUCAAACCCUAGCCUGGGAACCUUCAUAUGCCGUGCCGUGGCUGUGGCCCUAAAAAAGCCAAAAAAAAAAAAAAUGACUUUGCUAUGACUUGGGCCACAUCCCACAAACAGAGUUAAUGGGAUCCCUCUUUUACCAAAGAAUCACUUGAGGAGGCAAGUCAGGCAAGAAUGCAUAUUGUAUUCCCAUUCACUUUUAUCCACUAGUAAGGCUGGGAUGAGAAUCCAGGAUUCAAUUCCUAAUCCAGAGCCCCCUCUCAUGACACUUUGAUAGGAGGAACAAUAACUCCUCAAUAUAAUCCUAUAAGCAGAGAAAUAAUCAGAAACUAAAAAAAAAAAAAAAAAUCCCUCCUCCUGUCUUUCUCUAUAAAACAAAUAAUCCUCUACAUCUUCCUACACUGCGUGUGUGAUAAGGGGCUCUGUCCUCUCUUGUAUCAUAUUUGGUAUUUAUGCAAUCCUUCUCCUCCUACAGUCCACCUAAUCUUAUGAAACAUAAUUCUUUUCCCUCUUCCUCCUCCCUACACAAACCUAAUUCCUGAUUCUCCUCAAGUAUGUGCAAACUAUUACACAAACCGUCUUUUAAAGUAAGCAUCAUACUUCAGUCUAAAAUAGCAACUGGGCAAGUGAACAUACUAUUUUAUAUUAUCUAAGCUUCUUUUAGCACCUUUUACAACAAAAGUGUUGAUUUUUUUUCCCCUUUAUAAAGUGGCUGUGGCAUUCGGUGGCAGCAUGCAACAGGCACAAGUUCAUGGUAAGUUCAGAGGAAAGGAAUGUUCAAAGAAAACCGAACCCAAAGCAUUGUGGGUAGUGAUAUGGAAAGUUGACAAAACAAUGAUAAACAAUGGAGGGAAAAGAAAUAAUUAAGUGUUCUGAAGCACUGUAUCAGCAUUUUAUGCAUUGUUAAUUUUUUUUUUUUAGGAAACUAUUUUAUUCUGUGUGGUUUCAUGGAGAGAUACUAACCUGGUCUAUUGGAACAACACUCUGCAUGUAUAAUGAUUAUAAAACUUUUUUUAUAAAAAAGAAAAUGGACAAAUAUGUCUGCCUGAGAUAAGGCUUUCUGAACAAAAUAUAAUACAUGGAAAUCCUUUCUAGAAGCAUUUUGUGGAUUUAAGGAGGUAGGAAACUUAAAACAGUAGAAUUACAGUAAACAAGUAAGUCUAAACAAGGUGUGAAAAAUUGGACUAUAUGCCACAACAGGCAAAGCAAGAAGGAAAAGAAAAGCAGCUAACAGAGAAAGGUGAAUACUUUAUACACUUUUUAAAGGUACCUCUGAAAAUUCAAGCUGCUGAGAUUUGUAAAAGAGACAAAUUUUUUAUACUGUUAGAAUGCAGUCCUACCUCAAUCAUAGUUCAGACUAUAUUCGCUGUCUUGUUGGGUGUGUUUCAACAUAGAUUAUGUGCUUUUAUCUUACUUGAAUUCAUUCAUAUGACAAAAAAUUUAUUUAGUUGCAGGCAUUAUUUUAGGCACUAGCAACUCGGGGGUGGACAGAACACACAAAACUUCCUGUAGCCAUGAACAUUACAUUCAUGUGAGCAGAAGAGACAAUAAACACAACAAAUAAACACUCGAUAUAUCAGAGGACAGUAAAUUCCAGGUAGAAAAAUAAAGCAAAGGAAAAAGAUGAUGUUCCGAAAGGAAGUCUGUUGCAGUAAAGUUUAAAAGUUGUUAGGGGAGACAGUCAUGAGAAAGUCACAUGUGAUCAGACCUGAAGGAGGUAAGAGAGCAACUCACUGAUUUAGCUGAGGUGUGUGUGAGAAAUGAGCAAAUUCAAAGGUGGGAGUUGCCCCAGUAGCUUAGACAAAUAUGGAGGAAGCUUUUGUGGCUGGUGGGGAGAGAGCCAGAGGUGGAAGAGUUUAUCAUGUGUUAAAGAAGUAACCAGGGAACCAGAAAAAUCAGCCAUCACAGACACUGUAAGGACAUUAGCUCUUAUUCUGAUGGAGAUAGGAAGACACGGAAGUUUUCUACACCCUGACAUUGAUCUAAGACAUCAUAUGCCAACCACUUCUUUUCAGAAAUAGUUAAGUUUUCAAAAUGUGAACACUUUACAGUAUUUUUUUAAAACCCCUUGUAAACCUAAAAUGAUAAGAUGGGCCCAGGAAGUAAAGACUGAAAAAUGAGGUGACUGUAACGUGGUUACCAUGACUUCAGUCUCUUUCAAUAACAAACACCUAAGAUGCCACAUGAAUUCAGUGAUUUCCAUCAAACCCUGUUGAAAAUCACUGAUUGAAUUCAUGGUACCAGCCAAUAAAUGCAAACUGUUGGCACACCAAACCAAUUUGAUUGUCAUAUCUUAGACAGUUUACUUCUUUACAUAAACCAGGUGCCUACAAAGAAAAAAAAAAGGACAUGCGUUGUUGACAUCAGUCAAGUAUCUGUUUGUUUUGUUCCCCACAUGUAAGAUGCUAGAAUGAGUCGUCACUGUUUUAGAGAUGUCUGAUAAAGAAGCACUGAGACUGGUUAGCUGAAGGAACGGUAGUAUCUCCUGGUAGGCCAAGCUGCACAAUAAUCAGUAUUAACUUGAAUCAUACAUUAUUGUGCAUUAUCAAUGGAACAGGUUGAGACUUGAGUUUCUUUUGCAGGAAAAAAUGUUUUGAAAGAGCAAGGAAAAGCAGCUUUUUAAACACCCAUUCUAGUAUAAGGCUACCUAAAAUAGCAGCAAAAAUGCCCUGCUUUCCUGUCAACUAUGAAUAUAGGAUUGGUCAGUAAAUCUUUUUAUUAUUAAUCCAUUAAAUGCUAAUAUUUAGAAGUUUGAGAAGCUUCCAAAAACCUGAAGUUUUCUAACAGGUAUUUAACAAGGAAGCUUACGAAGUUGACAGGAGGGGUUGAGCUAGCGCUGGUUGGAGGUUGCUGAUUUUUGAAAGUUCUCUAAACACAUUUUAUAUUUCAAUGCUACAUCCUUCUUGAAAUAGAAGAUACAUUGCCUCAAGCAAAAACAGAAGUGUAAUUUGAGGGUGAAUGCAAAUGGCAUAAGAAUAGGAAGCUAGGAAUGGAAUAUGAAAUCUAUCUGAAUUCACCUGUAGGAAGUGCUGUUGUGUACUGUCCACACAACUGAUCUUCCCUUCAGUGCUGAAGAGCUCACUGCCCCAGCUGCCAGCAGUAUUGAAGACAAACAGCUCACAGCUGUGCCCCUCUCUGGGCACUGCCUCAGCUGAAGGGAGCUGCCUUACCAUAGGCUACACUCCUCCCCAGGGGAAGCAAAGGUCUAAUGACUGCUAAAUGAGGAAAUACAAAAGAUAGCCCCUGACUUCAAUUCAGGACAGCUCUGAAGGGCCAUCCCAGCUCUAGAGCUCCCCAUAGGAUUGGCUGAGGCCUCUGCUGCAACUGCAUCUCAGUUCAACCUCUCCAUCUGCCCAUCCUGCUUCCCUCACUCCUCAUAGGUAUUGUUUCCAGGAGCACACAACAAUAAAUUUUAUAAUUGCAAAUAUCAGAGACUCAGAGCAUGUUCCCAAAGGAAGCUGACCAAAGACAUCACAGCAAUAAUAAAUACUCUAUAUUUCAUACCAUCUGAAAGAACUGGGAUUGAAAACAGUAACUGAUUUUACAGUAGAAUGUUGCUUUAGAAACCAACAUUAGUCCGUGGAGCUAGCCCAUAGCAGUGCUCACCCUAUUAUGAAGUGCUUAUCUUUAAGUUUAGUUAAAACAAUUAUGAAUCACUGACUUAAGUGAGGAAUUGUCAUUUUAUAGUGACUGUAAAGUGCCACACAGCCCAUGGAGGCUAUAUGGUGGCCAAAUCAGAAUAGUAGCAGACAUACCUAAUUAAUUUACUCCUAAGCACGGUAAAACACUGUGCUUGCUGGAAAAGCUUGUUCAAUCUUUUUUAAAUACGUAAUCGUAUAUGAGUUCAAGGAGAGUAAAAACAAAGUAGCAAAAGGAAAAAGCAAAUCUCAUAGCAACAUACUACUGAGUUUUGUGUAGAUCCAAAGAGAGACUCUCAGAUUAUUAAAGAGAUGGGUUUUGAGCAUUAAGACUAGGAAAUAGGGAUCAUAAGGAGUCAGAAUGGGUUAAAGUGGUAAAUACCACACAAAAAAUACAUCAGAUAUAAUAAAUCUGGCUUCAGUUAAGAUACUGACUUCCUGCUGAUUUUGUUAAGGUCAAGACAGAGAUAUAAGCUGGAUAAUAAAAUAAAUAGCUAAGGUUAUAAAAUUUGAACUACAUCGAGAGAGAACUUCUACCUUAACUGAUAUUAUUUAGAAAAAAGUUUUGGUGGCUCCACAUUCUGCCUCUAUCUCUCCGACCUUGGCCUGGUGGUCUGCAAAGGAAUUGGGUCCCAGGGAGGACCUGGGUUUCCAGGGUAGAAGCAAGUGUUAAUGGGAAGAGGGUUAGCUUGAUUUCCCAAGGAGAACAUUCCUUAUGACAGGCCCGACAUGUUAUCUGAAGAAUUAUUGUAAGCUCUUAAUCAGAACUACACAAUGCCAUCUUACAAAAGACAAUAAUAUGAAGGAACAAAGUACCACAACAUAAGGGCUAAUGGAUUAAGGAGACACCAGAGAUAAGUGUCACUAAGAAGAAACAACUGGCCCUUUAGCCAUCAACCUUUAACAAACAUUUAUUGAGCACCUCCUAUGUGCCAGGAACUGCUUUACGCACUGAGAGACAGCUAUGAACAAGAGCUAUAAGACCUGUUACAGUGUAAUGGUGGGAGAAGCAGAAGAUAAGUAAGCUAAUAAAUUAUGAAGAAAAUAUCCACUGUGAUGAUUGCUGGAAGAUAAAUAAAACAUGGCUAUGUGAUAAAGAGAGACUGAAGCGAUUCAGGAAAAAAAAGGCCUCCUUGACGUGGUGCCAUUUGAACUAAGAUCUGAACAGUAAGGAAAAAUAACUCAUUUGAAAGUAUGAGGAAAGAACAUUCCUGGCAGAGAGGCCCAAUGUUGGAAAAGCCUCAUAUGGACAAACUUGACAUUUCUAAGGAACAGACAGGAUAGUCAUGUAGCUCAAAUAUACUGAGUGAGAGAAGUAACAGUUGAGAGUGGAGAUCAGAGAGAUAAUCAAGAAUCAGAUCAUGUAAUUAUAUAUUGAUACGGGGAAGAGCAACAUGACUGUCUUGUUUAGAAAGAUCACUCUGACUGCUGUUGAAAAAAUCACAUGUAGUACAGACGAGGGAGGUCAGAGGGAAGUUCAAGGGCCAGGUUAUUGCUAUCAUUGGCAAGAAAUGAUGCUAAGGGGAGACAUCUUCUUAGGAAGAUGAAAUGUAAUAAGGAUAAUCUUAAGACCUGUUUUUAUGCCCACAAUCUCCCCAAAAAUAUUAGCACAAUUUAAGAUUGGAGAUUCAUGUGUUAGCAGCAGCACAGAUUUUUAGAGCACAGAAAAAAAAUAAAAUGAUGGGUGUGUAUCAAAGACACAUAGAAGCCAACCUGAAAAGGGCCAAAGGGAGCAAUGCAUAAAAACAACAUACUAUUGGAUUCUAAUCCAAAGUAUCAAAUAACUAUCCAUGAGUUCACACUGACAUAAAUAAAUGACUGAAUAGAUAAAUAAAUGGGAAAAAGCGACAAAUCUCCUACAUAGAAUUUCAUAUAAUCAGUAUACAUACUCCACCUAAAGGAGGUGGAGUUUAACUCCUCACCUCUUAACUGUGGGCUCUGAAGACCACAGGAUGGAGAGGGAGAAAAAAAGUAAAUUUACAAUGGGAAACCUGAGCCAGGUGAUCAAGGUUAAUGUCAUCAGUGAUAAGUCAUGUUGACAGCAUGUGCCCUUGACACGAUGUGAUAAGAAUGACACUUCACCUUUGGGAUCUUCCUCCCCCAAAACCCAUAACCCCAGUCCAGCCCUAAGAAAAACACAAACUGAGGGAUGUUCUACAAAACACCUGACUUUCAAGGUCACAGAAAACAAGGAAACUCUGAGAAGCUGUUACAAUCCAGGAGAACCUAAUGAGACAUGACAACUAAAUGUAAAUGUGUAUUCUGGAUAGGAUCCCGGAACAGAAAAAAAGACAUUUUCCCUAAAAACUAAGGAAAUCCAAAUGACAUACAGAGUUUAGUUAAAGCAAUGUACCAGUGCCGGGUCAUUAAUUGUGCUGUAUGUGUCACAAUAACAUAAAAUGUUUACAAUAAGAGAAAUCGCUUAGACAAUACAUGAGAACUCUGUACUUUCAACUUUACAAUCUAAAACUAUUGUAAAAAAUAAAGGUUUAUGUUAUCUAAAAAAGAAAAAAAAAAAAGCAGAGAAUCCUUGUAUUGGUUCCUAUCAACACAAGUAUGGUACCUACAAAAUGGAAGCUAAAGCCACCUCCAGUCUGGUUGGAGCAUAGCCACCGUACUACAGGCAACGCAGGAAUGCCAGGUGCCAUGCGUGGAGAGGGAUUAGAAAAAAACACUCUAGAAACAAGAAUAAGCAGAACGGACAGAGAUUAAAGUUGAGAAGCAACUCCAAGUACCAGGAGAUGCUUAACCCGGGAAACACGAAGGACACAGUAACUUAUCUCAAAACAUAUGAGGAACUGUUGUAAAAAGUGAGGAUUUGACCUCCCUCUAAAGUCUCAAGUUAUAGCAUAUGGUAAAACUGGAAGGAAGAUUACAAGUGGGAAACUAUCUACUGAAGAAAAGGAAGAACCUAUUAUAAACCUAGAAUCACCUGCCCUGGGAGACAACAGCGUGCUAUUCCAAUACUGAGCAUUCAGGCCUCUGUGGAAAGACCUUGUCCAAACACUGCAGAGGAGACUGGU
RNAcentral lists this long non-coding RNA (7851 nucleotides) under Sus scrofa (pig). Its description in RNAcentral is "lncRNA (ENSSSCG00050051912.1)". Lineage: Eukaryota; Metazoa; Chordata; Mammalia; Artiodactyla; Suidae. The record is from RNAcentral.